AGCAGCCGCGGUAAUUCCAGCUCCAAUAGCGUAUAUUAAAGUUGUUGCAGUUAAAAAGCUCGUAGUUGAAUUUCGGGAUUAGUACGUCGGUCGUGCCUUGGUACGUACUGGUGUAACUGAUUCCUCCCUUCUGACGAACCGUUAUGCCAUUAAUUUGGUGUGGCGGGAAAUCAGGACUGUUACUUUGAAAAAAUUAGAGUGUUUAAAGCAGGCUCGCGCUUGAAUACAUUAGCAUGGAAUAAUGAAAUAGGACGUUAAUCCUAUUUUGUUGGUUUCUAGGAUCGACGUAAUGAUUAAUAGGGAUAGUUGGGGGCAUUAGUAUUCAAUUGUCAGAGGUGAAAUUCUUGGAUUUAUUGAAGACUAACUACUGCGAAAGCAUUUGCCAAGGAUGUUUUCAUUAAUCAAGAACGAAAGUUAGGGGAUCGAAGACGAGUCAGAUACCGUCGUAGUCUUAACCAUAAACUAUGCCGACUAGGGAUCGGAUGAUGUUAAUUUUUAAUGACUCAUUUCGGCGCCUUAC
Molecule: ribosomal RNA, 520 nt
Filed under: uncultured Glomus
Lineage: Eukaryota; Fungi; Glomeromycota; Glomeromycetes; Glomerales; Glomeraceae
Description: SSU rRNA
Rfam family: Eukaryotic small subunit ribosomal RNA
Source: RNAcentral